This 1327-nucleotide ribosomal RNA is filed under the name Coryphellina exoptata. Its description in RNAcentral is "SSU rRNA". It matches the Rfam family "Eukaryotic small subunit ribosomal RNA". Lineage: Eukaryota; Metazoa; Mollusca; Gastropoda; Nudibranchia; Flabellinidae. The record is from RNAcentral.
UUGUCUCAAAGAUUAAGCCAUGCAUGUCUGAGUUCGUACCCCGUUCCGCACGGUCAAACCGCGAAUGGCUCAUUAAAUCAGUCCUGGUUCCUUAGGCGACGCGGCCCCCUCGCGGGCGUUCCGGAUAACUGUGGCAAAUCCAGAGCUAAUACGUGCGACUCGAGCCCCGACUCGCCGCUGGUCGGCGGGGAAGGGCGCUUUUAUUAGUGCGAGACCGGCGUCCGUCGGUAAAACGGCGGACCCGCGUCAGGCGAACUCUGGAUAACAGGCUCGACCGCUCCGUCCCUCGUCGGACGGCGGCACGCCUUUCAAGCGUCUGCCCUAUCAAAUGUCGACGGUAGGUCACGCGCCAACCGCGUUGACGACGGGUAACGGGGAAUCGGGGUUCGGUUCCGGAGAGGGAGCACGAGAAACGGCUACCACAUCCAAGGAAGGCAGCAGGCGCGCAACUUACCCACUCCCGGCUCGGGGAGGUAGUGACGAGAAAUAACGGCGCGGGUCUCGAGUCGGGCCCCGCGGUCGGAAUGAGCGCAGUCCAAACCCCUGACGGCGACGACCCAUCGGAGGGCAAGUCUGGUGCCAGCAGCCGCGGCUGAAACUUAAAGGAAUUGACGGAAGGGCACCACCAGGAGUGGGGUCUGCGGCUUAAUUUGACUCAACACGGGAAAACUCACCCGGUCCGGACACCGCUAGGAUUGACAGACCGAGGCUCUUUCUUGAUUCGGUGGGUGGUGGUGCAUGGCCGUUCUUAGUUGGUGGAGCGAUCUGUCUGGCUAAUUCCGAUAACGAACGAGACUCCGGCCUGCUAGUUAGCGCGACGGCGUCCGGCGGGGCGGCGGACUUGGCGUUCUCGCUCGCGUCGGCCUUCGCGGGUCUUCGCGGGCGGGGCGCAAUCCCCUCUCGCCCGCCGUCGCGACCCAAUGGCUUCUUAGAGGGACGGGCGGUGGCCAGCCGCACGAGAAGGAGCGAUAACAGGUCUGUGAUGCCCUUAGACGUCCGGGGCCGCACGCGUGCUACACUGGGGGAGUCAGCGCGGACCGCCUCCCGGCCCGAAGGGCGUCGGGAAAGCCGCAGAGUCUCCCCCGUGCUCGGGAUCGGGGCUUGACCAUUGUGCCCCGUCAACGAGGAAUUCCCCGUAGGCGCGGGUCAUAACCCCGCGCCGAUUACGUCCCUGCCCUUUGUACACACCGCCCGUCGCUACCAUCGGUGGACGGUCUAGCGAGGGCCUCGGACCGGCGGCGAGUCCUCCCUUCGCGGGGCGGGGCUCCUCGCCGGGAAGACGCCCGAACUCGGUCGCUCGGAGAUAGUAAAAGUCGUAACAAGGUUU